Molecule: ribosomal RNA, 305 nt
Filed under: uncultured bacterium
Lineage: Bacteria
Description: bacterial SSU rRNA
Rfam family: Bacterial small subunit ribosomal RNA
Source: RNAcentral
GACUCCUACGGGACGCAGCAGUGAGGAAUAUUGGUCAAUGGGCGGAAGCCUGAACCAGCCAAGUCGCGUGAGGGAAUAAGGCCCUACGGGUCGUAAAGCUCUUUUGCCGGGGAGCAAGGGCGGGGACGUGUCCCGGCCCGGAGAGUACCCGGAGAAAAAGCAUCGGCUAACUCCGUGCCAGCAGCCGCGGUAAUACGGAGGAUGCGAGCGUUAUCCGGAUUUAUUGGGUUUAAAGGGUGCGUAGGCGGGCUUUUAAGUCAGCGGUAAAAAUUCGGGGAUCAACCCCCGCCGGCCGUUGAAACUGG